RNAcentral lists this ribosomal RNA (427 nucleotides) under uncultured bacterium. RNAcentral describes it as "partial 16S ribosomal RNA". It matches the Rfam family "Bacterial small subunit ribosomal RNA", at positions 355 to 774 of the family's 1533-position model. The record is from RNAcentral.
UGGGGAAUAUUGCACAAUGGGCGCAAGCCUGAUGCAGCCAUGCCGCGUGUAUGAAGAAGGCCUUCGGGUUGUAAAGUACUUUCAGCGAGGAGGAAGGCGUUGUGGUUAAUAACCGAAACGAUUGACGUUACUCGCAGAAGAAGCACCGGCUAACUCCGUGCCAGCAGCCGCGGUAAUACGGAGGGUGCAAGCGUUAAUCGGAAUUACUGGGCGUAAAGCGCACGCAGGCGGUCUGUCAAGUCGGAUGUGAAAUCCCCGGGCUCAACCUGGGAACUGCAUCCGAAACUGGCAGGCUAGAGUCUUGUAGAGGGGGGUAGAAUUCCAGGUGUAGCGGUGAAAUGCGUAGAGAUCUGGAGGAAUACCGGUGGCGAAGGCGGCCCCCUGGACAAAGACUGACGCUCAGGUGCGAAAGCGUGGGGAGCAAACA